RNAcentral lists this long non-coding RNA (770 nucleotides) under Mus musculus (house mouse). Its description in RNAcentral is "long non-coding RNA chr2:35730222-35730992". Lineage: Eukaryota; Metazoa; Chordata; Mammalia; Rodentia; Muridae. The record is from RNAcentral.
GCCAGGACACUGCUCUCACGGUUGAUAUUAGAGCCUGGAGAACGGUGCUGGGCAGGACAAAGAGCUUUGCAGUCUAGGUGUCUGUCUGUCUGUUUCCUGCCCGGGGCAUUGAUUCGUUGGCUUUCAAGCAUGCUGUUUGGGUGGAAGGUUGAUGGGGGCAAAUGCCCCAGUGGGGCCAGUAAAGCAUCCUCCUGCCCACAGCAACGGCUUGGGGCGUCUGAGCUCUGCUUACAGCAAGGGCUGGAGUUGCCAGAGGCCCUGCUCUGGGAAGACCCUGGCCACUGACACCCAAGAUCUGAUGGAGAGAGCGGCCCCACCCUUGCCAACACAGACACCUGACCUUUUUGUUCAACUUGUGUGUUAGGGUGAAGGAAACUGCCAAACUUCCUCUGAGUGAAGACCUCUGACUGCCCAGGAGUAGGGGUGGGGACCAGGGCCAGAGCUCAACGUGUACCCCAGCACCUGCCCGAGGGACACUCCUCCCUCAUACUCAUAGGUCUGGGAGCCAGACUGUCCAGGGAACCAGCCCCUCUUUUCUAUAUACUCGGCCACAAGGCUACCCGAUCCCCCACUGUGCCCAGCUCCCCCUUUUGUAAGUAUGUGAAAAGGAAAAAUGCAAAGGUUGGAUCGGCCGGAGCCCUUCCCUCCAGUCGAGACUUUUAACCCUGUAAUAAUGUACAGAGAAGUUGUUGGUGUUCGAAGACUCCGUGUGGCUGUGCAAUUUCUGUACAUUUGCAAUUAGAAAUAUUAAAGAUUUAUUUAGCUAUUUU